CCUACGGGAGGCAGCAGUGGGGAAUUUUGGACAAUGGGCGCAAGCCUGAUCCAGCAAUGCCGCGUGCAGGAUGAAGGCCUUCGGGUUGUAAACUGCUUUUGUACGGAGCGAAACGGUCUGCCCUAAUACGGUGGGCUAAUGACGGUACCGUAAGAAUAAGCACCGGCUAACUACGUGCCAGCAGCCGCGGUAAUACGUAGGGUGCGAGCGUUAAUCGGAAUUACUGGGCGUAAAGCGUGCGCAGGCGGUGAUGUAAGACAGAUGUGAAAUCCCCGGGCUCAACCUGGGACCUGCAUUUGUGACUGCAUCGCUAGAGUACGGUAGAGGGGGAUGGAAUUCCGCGUGUAGCAGUGAAAUGCGUAGAUAUGCGGAGGAACACCGAUGGCGAAGGCAAUCCCCUGGACCUGUACUGACGCUCAUGCACGAACGACGGUGGGGAGGACGAACAAGGAGUUAGUAUACCGUACGGUAGUACCGACCGACCCGUAAACCGAACUAGUCAACUAGGUUGGUUGGGUUCGUUCUACU
Molecule: ribosomal RNA, 528 nt
Filed under: uncultured bacterium
Lineage: Bacteria
Description: bacterial SSU rRNA
Rfam family: Bacterial small subunit ribosomal RNA
Source: RNAcentral